This 305-nucleotide ribosomal RNA is filed under the name uncultured bacterium. Its description in RNAcentral is "bacterial SSU rRNA". It matches the Rfam family "Bacterial small subunit ribosomal RNA", at positions 333 to 636 of the family's 1533-position model. The record is from RNAcentral.
UCACUCCUACGGGGGGCAGCAGUGAGGAAUAUUGGUCAAUGGUCGGGAGACUGAACCAGCCAAGCCGCGUGAGGGAGGAAGGUACAGAGUAUCGUAAACCUCUUUUGUCAGGGAACAAAGACUAGGACGCGUCCCCGGAUGAGCGUACCUGAAGAAAAAGCAUCGGCUAACUCCGUGCCAGCAGCCGCGGUAAUACGGAGGAUGCGAGCGUUAUCCGGAUUUAUUGGGUUUAAAGGGUGCGCAGGCGGUCUGUUAAGUCAGCGGUCAAAGCCCGGGGCUCAACCCCGGCCCGCCGUUGAAACUGG